AUGCUGAAUUUACACAUGAAAAACGGAGCGAACACAAGACAAUCACUAUCACAGGUUAACAAACACUUCACAGCGCAAAGAGAAACUCAGCAGAUGCCAUCCUCAAUUAGCCCAAAAGGAGUUGGAGUUUGUUUGAUGCACGUCACUGACACAAAUCCAGGAAAUUGCACUCUGGGUCACAUGUCUUUGCUGGCUAGAUCUCCCUGAGGCUAAAAAGGAUUUUACUGCUGUGAAAUUUCUAAUAAUGCACCAAAUGGGCACAGGAUGAUCUCUUGCUCCUCGUAUCAUUCAUCUCUAAUCAAUUCAUUUCCUAAGACACUUUGCUAAAUGCAGUUUCAUAGAGACACACCAGCUAGCCAGCACCAGCCUCUUCCAAAUCUUCAGCUCAUGAAUCAAAACCACUCCUUCUUUGAAAGCAGAAGAAAUGAAUCUCAGAAUCCCCAGGACAACUUUAAUUUUAGUAAGGCAUGAAUUUAUUUAUCCUGUAUUUAUUCCUAUAAUGGAGUCACAUCUCAGUGUUGUUUUACUUCAUUAAGCAAUAAUGUCAGCUCUGGUGAUGUUGUAAUUACAAAUUCUGGAAACAUUUUUUGAGUUCUGAAAAGCAACAAUCACAACCCUAAGAAGUUUUAAACCUCUCAUGGGAAACAUAUCAUCUUGUAAAGUGCAUCUGAACUUGGGGAAGAUUUGACAGAUAACCAAAUAAGGUGGACAUUAUGAAGGGUGGAAUAAACCAUUAUUACAAAGAGUUCCA
Molecule: long non-coding RNA, 751 nt
Filed under: Cyanistes caeruleus (blue tit)
Lineage: Eukaryota; Metazoa; Chordata; Aves; Passeriformes; Paridae
Description: lncRNA (ENSCCEG00000009011.1)
Source: RNAcentral